RNAcentral lists this ribosomal RNA (496 nucleotides) under Salmonella enterica. Its description in RNAcentral is "partial 16S ribosomal RNA". It matches the Rfam family "Bacterial small subunit ribosomal RNA", at positions 1037 to 1533 of the family's 1533-position model. RNAcentral also lists the same sequence under 1 other name. The record is from RNAcentral. Lineage: Bacteria; Pseudomonadati; Pseudomonadota; Gammaproteobacteria; Enterobacterales; Enterobacteriaceae.
GGUGCUGCAUGGCUGUCGUCAGCUCGUGUUGUGAAAUGUUGGGUUAAGUCCCGCAACGAGCGCAACCCUUAUCCUUUGUUGCCAGCGAUUAGGUCGGGAACUCAAAGGAGACUGCCAGUGAUAAACUGGAGGAAGGUGGGGAUGACGUCAAGUCAUCAUGGCCCUUACGACCAGGGCUACACACGUGCUACAAUGGCGCAUACAAAGAGAAGCGACCUCGCGAGAGCAAGCGGACCUCAUAAAGUGCGUCGUAGUCCGGAUUGGAGUCUGCAACUCGACUCCAUGAAGUCGGAAUCGCUAGUAAUCGUGGAUCAGAAUGCCACGGUGAAUACGUUCCCGGGCCUUGUACACACCGCCCGUCACACCAUGGGAGUGGGUUGCAAAAGAAGUAGGUAGCUUAACCUUCGGGAGGGCGCUUACCACUUUGUGAUUCAUGACUGGGGUGAAGUCGUAACAAGGUAACCGUAGGGGAACCUGCGGUUGGAUCACCUCCUUA